This 301-nucleotide ribosomal RNA is filed under the name uncultured bacterium. RNAcentral describes it as "partial 16S ribosomal RNA". It matches the Rfam family "Bacterial small subunit ribosomal RNA", at positions 509 to 807 of the family's 1533-position model. The record is from RNAcentral.
CAGCAGCCGCGGUAAUACGAAGGGGGCUAGCGUUGUUCGGAUUUACUGGGCGUAAAGGGCGCGUAGGCGGACUGAUAAGUCAGGGGUGAAAUCCCAAGGCUCAUCCUUGGAACUGCCUUUGAUACUGUUUGUCUUGAGUUCGAGAGAGGUAAGUGGAACUGCGAGUGUAGAGGUGAAAUUCGUAGAUAUUCGCAAGAACACCAGUGGCGAAGGCGGCUUACUGGCUCGAUACUGACGCUGAGGCGCGAAAGCGUGGGGAGCAAACAGGAUUAGAUACCCCCGUAGUCCCUGUCUCUUAUAC